RNAcentral lists this transfer RNA (27 nucleotides) under Riama colomaromani. RNAcentral's name for it is "partial tRNA-Leu". The record is from RNAcentral. Lineage: Eukaryota; Metazoa; Chordata; Lepidosauria; Squamata; Gymnophthalmidae.
UCCGCUGGCCUUAGGAGCCAUCUCUCU